Molecule: ribosomal RNA, 313 nt
Filed under: uncultured bacterium
Lineage: Bacteria
Description: bacterial SSU rRNA
Rfam family: Bacterial small subunit ribosomal RNA
Source: RNAcentral
AACGAACGCUGGCGGCGCGUCUUAAGCAUGCAAGUCGGACGGCAAGAAGAGAGCUUGCUCUCUUCCUAGAGUGGCGGACUGGUGAGUAACACGUGGGUGACGUACCCUUUAGCUGGGGAUAGCCGGUAGAAAUACCGGGUAAUACCGAAUAAUCUUGCUUCUUUGAUGUGAAGUAAGGAAAGGAGCUUCGGCUUCACUGAAGGAACGGCCCGCGCACUAUUAGCUAGUUGGUGAGGUAACGGCUCACCAAGGCAACGAUAGUUAUCCGGCCUAAGAGGGUGAACGGACACAUUGGGACUGAGAUACGGCCCAG